CCAACCGGGAUUGCCCCAGUAACGGCGAGUGAAGCGGCAAAAGCUCAAAUUUGGAAUCCUGCGGGAGUUGUAAUUUGAAGACCGCGAGGCGGCCGCGCGGCCCCGUGCAAGUCCAUUGGAACAUGGCGCCAAGGAGGGUGAGAGCCCCGUGGCACGGCGGCAGUGCGGCCACUCAGCUUCGCGGCCAAAGAGUCGAGUUGUUUGGGAAUGCAGCUCCAAGUGGGUGGUAAAUUCCAUCUAAAGCUAAAUACAGGCGAGAGACCGAUAGCGAACAAGUACAGUGAUGGAAAGAUGAAAAGCACUUUGAAAAGAGAGUGAAACAGUACGUGAAAUUGUUGGAAGGGAAGGGCUUGCAAGCAGACACAACCUCGGUUGGGCCAGCAUCGGGGCGGCGGAGAGCAAAACGGGCGGUGAAUGUGGCGCCACUCCUUCUGGGGGUGGCGUGUUUAUAGCGCCGCCAAAUGCCCUCACGGCGCCCCGAGGCCAGCGCAUUUCGCAAGGAUGCUGGCGUAAUGGUUGCAAGUCGCCCCUCUUGAAACA
This 540-nucleotide ribosomal RNA is filed under the name Metschnikowia drosophilae. RNAcentral's name for it is "LSU rRNA". It matches the Rfam family "Eukaryotic large subunit ribosomal RNA", at positions 65 to 661 of the family's 3401-position model. The record is from RNAcentral. Lineage: Eukaryota; Fungi; Ascomycota; Pichiomycetes; Serinales; Metschnikowiaceae.